GAGUGUAUAGCUCAGUGGUAGAGCGCAUGCUUAGCAUGCAUGAGGUCCUGGGUUCAAUCCCCAGUACCUCCA
RNAcentral lists this transfer RNA (72 nucleotides) under Camelus bactrianus (Bactrian camel). It matches the Rfam family "tRNA". Rfam says of the family: Transfer RNA (tRNA) molecules are approximately 80 nucleotides in length. Their secondary structure includes four short double-helical elements and three loops (D, anti-codon, and T loops). RNAcentral also lists the same sequence under 2 other names. Lineage: Eukaryota; Metazoa; Chordata; Mammalia; Artiodactyla; Camelidae. The record is from Rfam by way of RNAcentral.